This 483-nucleotide ribosomal RNA is filed under the name uncultured bacterium. Its description in RNAcentral is "partial 16S ribosomal RNA". It matches the Rfam family "Bacterial small subunit ribosomal RNA", at positions 30 to 507 of the family's 1533-position model. The record is from RNAcentral.
UUGAACGCUGGCGGCAGGCCUAACCCAUGCAAGUCGCGCGGAUGAAGGGAGCUUGCUCCUGGAUUCAGCGGCGGACGGGUGAGUAAUGCCUAGGAAUCUGCCUGGUAGUGGGGGAUAACGUCCGGAAACGGGCGCUAAUACCGCAUACGUCCUGUGGGAGAAAGUGGGGGAUCUUCGGACCUCACGCUAUCAGAUGAGCCUAGGUCGGAUUAGCUAGUUGGUGGGGUAAAGGCCUACCAAGGCGACGAUCCGUAACUGGUCUGAGAGGAUGAUCAGUCACACUGGAACUGAGACACGGUCCAGACUCCUACGGGAGGCAGCAGUGGGGAAUAUUGGACAAUGGGCGAAAGCCUGAUCCAGCCAUGCCGCGUGUGUGAAGAAGGUCUUCGGAUUGUAAAGCACUUUAAGUUGGGAGGAAGGGCAGUAAGUUAAUACCUUGCUGUUUUGACGUUACCAACAGAAUAAGCACCGGCUAACUUCGUG